GCAAACAUGGGAAAGUAGACAUCCUGAACAUCAGCUGCUUGUGUGUCAAAAGCCAAAAGGAAAACCACCAGAGGAAUGUUUAACAAAGUCGUUGUCGAUAUGUUUUAUGAACUUGGUCGUCUGAGUCAGCUGGAAGAUCUACAUGCACUAUUUUCUUUGUCUAGCAUCCAUGUCAAAGUGUCCCUGAGCAAGACACCAAACCCUGAACUGCUGACCGGGCGGCUCCCACGGCUGCACACCACUACGCCACUCGGCUUGAUGGCCGGUCCUCCUCUUGCAUAAAGCAUGAGGCAGCAGCAGAGACACCCAAUCCUCUCCUUUCGGUUGAGUUGGCGUGAGGCUGCUGCAGCACUCGGGCUCCGUCUCUGUCCUCCUUUGGCCCCCGAGGCGUCGCUGAGCCCCAAUGAGAGUGACACACCAAAAAGUACACUCUGCAGGACGAUAACGCAGAGAGGCCGAGAGAAGAAGAAGUUUCACCACGGAGGCUUUAGGCUUUAGACGGCGGGGUCAGACCUCGGCUCCCGAGGGGGGGGGGCCCAGCUGGAGCCAGACACG
This is a long non-coding RNA of Gasterosteus aculeatus aculeatus (three-spined stickleback), 555 nucleotides long. NCBI's taxonomy places the organism in Eukaryota, Metazoa, Chordata, Actinopteri, Perciformes, Gasterosteidae. The record is from Ensembl.